Molecule: long non-coding RNA, 4744 nt
Filed under: Homo sapiens (human)
Lineage: Eukaryota; Metazoa; Chordata; Mammalia; Primates; Hominidae
Description: HSALNT0028449
Source: RNAcentral
AGAGGCAGCCGACAGCUUGCUGGGAGAUUUCUAAGAAGAAAGCUGGUGGGGUGGCUACUGCUUUCUAGAUUACUCAGUGUGUGACUGGAAACACACUGGUCGCUUUGCACGGUCACAGCCGGCACAGCCUGUAGUCACAGAAUGUUCUGGGCUCACCCUCUUCUCUGGCCUGGGGAAGUGAGGCUCAGCGUAGAGGCUGUACCCACAGGCACAUGACGGUCUGCACCCAGGCCAGGGCUCAGUGAGGAGCCGGAGUGUCCCGGCCUGCCUGGACUCCAGCCGGGACCUCCCACAUGAGGCUCAUUCAUCUAUGCCCAGGAUUCUCAAAGAACCCCGGCCCCAGCCUGCUCUCUGUCAUGUGCUGAGCCCCAAGCUUACCCAUGCCUCCUGCCGUGGGGACCAGAGAAUGAGAAGACCACCAGGGAGACCCGCCCUGGAGACCAUGGUGUGCUGCUGACUCACGAGAAUGACAUCACCAAGUGUGCCCUCUGUCCUGUCACUUGGAGCUCCUGGAAGCACAGAAUGUCCCUCAGCCUGGACACUGCCCCUGGCCUGGGGAGGUAGAUGCUCCCCACCUCCCCUCCUGCCCUAGUGCAGAGGAAAGAAGAUCAAAUCUGGAGUCAGCAGACAUAGGAGUCUAAUCCCUGGUUCUGAUAUAUCUAGGCAGUCAUUGCCUUAGCCACACUCAGCCUUAAUCUCCUGAUCUGCAAAAUGGGGAGAACCACACUAACUUUGCAGUUUGCGGUGAGAGUCAAGGAAACCCACGUGAGAAGUGUCUGGCACUGUGCCUCGCAUGUACUGGAUGUGCAGUCUUGAAGGAAUCCUACGCUUCAUGAAUGAGGAUUUGACAUCUGGCAGAGGUCUUUAUGAACACAUUUAUGAUCAUCCUUCAAAGCAACCACAUGAAAUGGGCCAGGGGCUUGUUCUCUUUUAGCAGACAGACGGGUUGAGUCACCACAAGAUGCUGUUAUGGUUUAAAUGUGUGGAGCUAUAUAUAUACAUACACACAUACACAUGUAUAUAUCAAUCAAGCUAUACUUAUCCCCAAUAACAGAGAGGAAAAAUAUAUUAUUAGAAUAAGAGCCGCAUAUUUUGGAAAACUUACCAUGUGCCAGAGACUGUUCUAAUUAUUUUAUAAACAUGUCUCUUGUGGUUUUCAAGAUAACUAUAGAAGGUAACUAUUAUUACUUUUUAACAAAUGAAAGCAAACCUCAGGUUAAGUGACUGGCCCAAGGUCACACAGCAAGCAGUGACAGAGCUAAGUUGCGCUGGCUCUAAAGACCAUGUGUUAUCAACAGCGUCCUCCUGCCUUCUUAUGAAAUGGAAUCCAUAUCAAACUGCUAAGCUUUGUUUUUAGCAAAUAACAUGACUGUCUGGGCUGUGGGCUUAAGGAACAGUGAGUUUGGGGGCAAAGGUCACCCUCUAAUAGUGCUUCAUAAUAUUUCUCCCAGAGAAAGACUCUGGAGCCAGGCAGAUCUGGAUCCAGAUUCCAGUUCUGCCACUUCCUAGCUGUGUCCUCUCACUGAGCUCUCAGAGGCCUCCUUGGCCCGCAUGCUCAGUGGAGUGUCUGGUUGGCCCCGCAGCCCUUGUGUCCAGAUCUGCUGGGCGACACAGUGCCUGGCUGUGCCCUGCAGAGGCUUUCCUGUCCCUGGCUCCCAUGCUUCCCCUGAGGAGAGCAGGCGAUGGGUGUCAGCUUAUGUGAGCCCUUUGGUUGCAUGGAUCGGGUGAAAAACAGACAGAGCUGAAGAAUUUGAACUGAGAUGUCAAUUGUGGAGCAGGAUUACUCAUAGCAGCCACCGCCCACUAGGCCAGAACACCUUCGUUUAAACAAACCAACAUCCCAGGGGACAGUGCCUGUUGAGCAAGCUGCUGAGAGCCCUUCACUAGUGCUGAGUCCUCAGGCCUGCAGGGGACACUCCACAUCUGACCCUGCAGGAGAGCGGUGUCCAGGAGCAGGCACCUCAGAUCCAUCCAAGUCACACAGGGAGGCCAGAAGGGCAGCGGGGACACUGAACGCUCUACACGUCCUGAGGUCCCUGACCUCAUAGGCUGGAGGGGAGCAUUUGCUUUGUCUUGUGGAAAGUCCCCAAGUGGAUGGGCUAACAAUCGAUUCCAGUUGCACCCACGCUGCUAACUCUGGCCAUGUUUCCUAUACUUCCGUUCCUGUGAUCCAUCUCUUGCCCCUUCCAGAUCAGACAGUGACCUCCCGGGCCUCCUGGGGAUGCAGUUGUCCUCCCUGCACUCAGAUCUGGAGCUGCUGCUUCCUAGCGGAGGAGUCAGCCUACCGAGCCAGGCCGUUGUCAAGCCCUGAGCCCUCCCCACUUCCGCCUCUGCCCGCUUUCCUGUCCCAGCUGUGAGCCUCUCCGGGGACUCAUUUAAACUGAAGACAAUUGCCUCAGAUAAAGAACAACUGGCCUCCUCCCUAUGUGGCUAAAAUUAUCAAAAACCGAAGAGGGCGUUGCUGACCUCAGCCUUCCCCAGCCUUUCUCCUGCCUUGGUCCACUUGAAUAUCCCUCUGGGAGCCUGUGACAGCUGCCUACGUGGGACCCCACACAGAAACGGGGCUGAAGAAGGCAGUCCCAGCCUCGCAAGGCAUUCAGUUCCUGCAGUGUCUGCAGCCAAAUCCCAAGAUAGAGCCAGUCUGCUUGGUUCCCUGGCCCCAGGUUUCUCAGAGCUCCUCCGGCAGCCCAGGAGGCUGAGCUGCACUGCCUGCAUUUCCUGGCUUCACAUCACGUACACAUAGAGCUUGGGGCCCGGGCAACCAUGGCAUGGAAGCCCAGACCACCUAAAUUCUUCCUUAGGACCACCAGUGCCAUUGCCUCAGCCAUAACCCCCUGAGACUCCUCGCGGACCAGCAUGGCGACUGGUCCCACAACCAUCUCCAUGCCUGCUUCCUCUUCCCCAUUCAAGCUUCUCAACAUCUGUCAUUCUUGGUGUUAGCUAUAUCCCAGCUCCUGUAUUAUUCCAUUGCAUCCAGAAUGCUUUGAGGAAGGAAUGUCAUAGACCCCCUUUUUUAACCCCCUCUUCCCAGAGAGAUGUGCUCAGGAAUAGGUGCCCAACAGGAAGUAUUUGAUUGAGAGCUUAUUUGUCCCUCCAGGAGAUAUUCAAGGAGAGCCCCCAUCCAGACCCCAAGCGAGAAGAGCUACCGUGUCUCACAGGGCCCACAGCCCAUCACCCACAUCAUCCCACGGAGGGCGGGGAUUAUGCCCAGUGUGCAGAAGGGUUGACAAAGGCCAGGUAGGGGAAGUGGCUGGCUCUGCUUACAUGGACCCAAGACUCACUCCAGAACCCCUGACCUUCCGCUGAAGGAUCUUUGCACCAACUCUCCUGGCCCCAGUGGGUCUGGCUCACCAGAAGUUAGGCCUGGAAGGGAGGAGGCUGGGUGGGGGGACAUAGAAGGCAAAAGCAGCAGUGUCCUCACAUGGAACUGUUCCUCCAGGUCCUUUCCCUGGGACCCCUCCCUGGAGAGCUCUCCCUGCUCUCUCUGGCUUCCUUUCCCUUCUGUCAACCCUAAUAGCAUAGGUUUUGGUGUCAGGCAGUCCUGCGUUGGAAUCUCAGAUUCCCAGGGACAGUCAUGAUUUAUACGUGUUGUCCCGGUAUACUAAUACAUCAAGGCUCCUUGUCACCCUCAAACAUGCGCAUUAGGACCAUGCAUCAUGUGUCCCGCUUACAAAGACAGAAGGCAAGGUCUGUGGACAGCUGGAGGAUGACCUAGUUAGGGAGCCUCUAGGAACCCAUCUAGUUCUGCGAUGGAGGGGAACAGAGAAUGGGGUGUUUCCCUGAUGACCCUGCUGUGGAGGAGCUGGCUGCUUCUGCAGGGAGAUGCUGCAGCCCCAGAAGGAAGCCCUGGCCAUGUGUCUCAAGUUGCUUUGCAAAACAAGCACCAGGAAAGAAAAACAGCAUCUAUAUUUCCCUGAGGUGGGCCAGCAUCCAGAGGCUGAAGGCACCUGGGGAUAGGGACACUACAUCACACACUUCAGGGGGUGCCAGUCAUGUCACGGUCUGUGUGAACGGUGCCUCCUGGGAAUGUACAGCUCCCAGCCUGCUCACUGCAAAGCAGGAAUUGGUGAGCUGUGACUAGAUGAUGUCAGAGAGCAAGAAUAAGUAAGGACCAGGAAAGCUACAAAAUAUAGAAGACUACAUCUUUUUUAAAUUAAUUAAUUAGUUAAUUUAUUUAUUUAUUUAUUAUGUUUUGAGACAGAGCCUUGCUCUGUUGCUCAGGCUGGAGUGCAGUGGUAUGAUCUCUGCUCACUGCAACCUCCAUCUACCAGGUUCAAGCAACUCUCCUGCCUCAGCCUCCUGAGUAGCUGGGAUUACAGGCGCUCAUCACCAUGCCCAGCUAAUUUUUGUAUUUUUAGUAGAGACAGGGUUUCACCAUGUUUGCCAGGCUGGUCUCAAACUCCUGACCUUGUGAUCCAUCUGCCUCAGCCUCCCAAAGUGCUGGGAUUACAGGCAUGAGCCACCAUGCCCAGCCGAAAGCCUACAUCUUUAAGGAGAGGAAUCAUUCUGUCUGGGGAGGAACUCCUUUAAAUCAGUUCAACUCAACUCAUAUGAACAAAUAUUGAUCAUGCAAUUACUGUGCGCUCUGCUGGGCAAGGCCAUUAUGGUGGGGGUGGCGGUGGGGUGAUCAGGCAUCCUGAUCAGGCAGGGGUGAUCAGGCAGGCGGUGGGGUGAUCAGGCAUUGAGAAGCUCAUAGGACAGGAGGGGAGUGCGCAGGGUCUGUCCCUUCCUCUCCCCAGGCAGA